CCUACGGGAGGCUGCAGUGAGGAAUAUUGGUCAAUGGGCGCGAGCCUGAACCAGCCAAGUCGCGUGAGGGAUGAAGGUUCUAUGGAUCGUAAACCUCUUUUAUAAGGGAAUAAAGUGUGGGACGUGUCCUAUUUUGUAUGUACCUUAUGAAUAAGGAUCGGCUAACUCCGUGCCAGCAGCCGCGGUAAUACGGAGGAUCCGAGCGUUAUCCGGAUUUAUUGGGUUUAAAGGGUGCGGAGGCGGGCUUUUAAGUCAGCGGUUAAAGUCGGUGGCUCAACCAUAUAAGUGCCGUUGAAACUGGGGGGCUUGAGUAUGUUUGAGGUAGGCGGAAUGCGUGGUGUAGCGGUGAAAUGCUUAGAUAUCACGCAGAACUCCGAUUGCGAAGGCAGCAUGCCAAGCCAUGACUGACGCUGAUGCACGAAAGCGUGGGGAUCAAACAGGAUUAGAUACCCUUGUAGUC
Molecule: ribosomal RNA, 460 nt
Filed under: uncultured bacterium
Lineage: Bacteria
Description: partial 16S ribosomal RNA
Rfam family: Bacterial small subunit ribosomal RNA
Source: RNAcentral